AUUGAACGCUGGCGGCAGGCCUAACACAUGCAAGUCGAGCGGAUGAAGGGAGCUUGCUCCUGGAUUCAGCGGCGGACGGGUGAGUAAUGCCUAGGAAUCUGCCUGGUAGUGGGGGAUAACGUCCGGAAACGGGCGCUAAUACCGCAUACGUCCUGAGGGAGAAAGUGGGGGAUCUUCGGACCUCACGCUAUCAGAUGAGCCUAGGUCGGAUUAGCUAGUUGGUGGGGUAAAGGCCUAUCAAGGCGACGAUCCGUAACUGGUCUGAGAGGAUGAUCAGUCACACUGGAACUGAGACACGGUCCAGACUCCUACGGGAGGCAGCAGUGGGGAAUAUUGGACAAUGGGCGAAAGCCUGAUCCAGCCAUGCCGCGUGUGUGAAGAAGGUCUUCGGAUUGUAAAGCACUUUAAGUUGGGAGGAAGGGCAGUAAGUAAAUACCUUGCUGUUUUGACGUUACCAACAGAAUAAGCACCGGCUAACUUCGUG
RNAcentral lists this ribosomal RNA (484 nucleotides) under uncultured bacterium. RNAcentral's name for it is "partial 16S ribosomal RNA". It matches the Rfam family "Bacterial small subunit ribosomal RNA", at positions 30 to 507 of the family's 1533-position model. The record is from RNAcentral.